Ceratotherium simum simum (southern white rhinoceros) is the source of this 226-nucleotide non-coding RNA. Lineage: Eukaryota; Metazoa; Chordata; Mammalia; Perissodactyla; Rhinocerotidae. The record is from RefSeq and is a predicted model, not a curated record.
AGGAUACGUGCUCAAGAGACCUCCUCCUCCUACCUUUACUGUCUGUCAGUCUGAUAACACAUGGAAACCUCUCCGGGAGGCUUGUACAAGAAAAUCAUGUCCACAGCCAGCAGAACCCAUAAAUGGCAAAGUAGAACAUGUAAAUGGAACUUUGGAGUUUGGUUCACAGAUUCACUAUGCUUGUAAUGAGGGUUUUUACUUAGUUGGACCAAAAAUUCUAUAUUGU